UGGGGAAUAUUGCGCAAUGGGGGAAACCCUGACGCAGCAACGCCGCGUGGAGGAAGAAGGUAUUCGUAUUGUAAACUCCUGUCUUUUGGGACGAAGAAAUGACGGUACCAAAGGAGGAAGCCACGGCUAACUACGUGCCAGCAGCCGCGGUAAUACGUAGGUGGCAAGCGUUGUCCGGAAUUAUUGGGCGUAAAGAGCGCGCAGGUGGUUGAUUAAGUCUGAUGUGAAAGCCCACGGCUUAACCGUGGAGGGUCAUUGGAAACUGGUCGACUUGAGUGCAGAAGAGGGAAGUGGAAUUCCAUGUGUAGCGGUGAAAUGCGUAGAGAUAUGGAGGAACACCAGUGGCGAAGGCGGCUUCCUGGUCUGUAACUGACACUGAGGCGCGAAAGCGUGGGGAGCAAACA
RNAcentral lists this ribosomal RNA (404 nucleotides) under uncultured prokaryote. RNAcentral describes it as "bacterial SSU rRNA". It matches the Rfam family "Bacterial small subunit ribosomal RNA", at positions 355 to 774 of the family's 1533-position model. The record is from RNAcentral.